UGGUCCAAGCAGUGUCCAUCACACAUGUUAUGCUCACACAGUAGUGGUGCCCCUCACAUGUUAUGUAUAUCAGCACUGUGAUGGCAGAAUAAUGAGGCUGCUGUUAUACAUGUGAUAGCUGCAGCACAGUAAAGAAGACCACACACACUAAUGCUAUAUAUACUAUAGACUCUGUACAUGGGGCACACUACAAAGCUACUGUAGAUAACACAGAUCACUCCAGGCAAUCAACUCGGUUAUAUACCCAUGGACAUGGAAGCUAGGACCCCGUGGCCGCUACCAUGCACCAUGCAUGCGCCUCACUCCCCCUCUGCCAGCUGUUUCAUGGGAACAUACCUUCCGCACCAGCCCCUGUGCUGUCACCACUGCUUCCGCCAGGUAAAAGACACAUCAUCACGGCUGGGCAGGCGGCUUUUACCAAGAAGUUUGGGUGGGGGGGUGUACCGAAUGUGGCCGCCUCGGGAACUGGCUCCCCCGUCACAGGCCCGCUAACUGGGCGUCCCUAGCAACCGGACAGGACACCUGUUGGUAAUGGUGCAGCCCGUUCUUCUCCCCGGCAGCGGUAUGGGGGCAGAGCAUGGCAGGGGCUGGAGGUACUGAGAAGAGAAAAGCCCAUGAAAGAAGAAUUGUUGAUCAUUACCUCCAUGAAAGAAGAAUUUCCGAUCAUUACUGUCCUUAAUACCCCCCUUGAUUAACAUUUUCGGCAUUAAAGAAUUAAAUUAAA
This is a long non-coding RNA of Pseudophryne corroboree (corroboree frog), 724 nucleotides long. RefSeq lists it as uncharacterized. The transcript has 2 exons. The record is from RefSeq and is a predicted model, not a curated record. Lineage: Eukaryota; Metazoa; Chordata; Amphibia; Anura; Myobatrachidae.